This 762-nucleotide ribosomal RNA is filed under the name Kuettlingeria erythrocarpa. Its description in RNAcentral is "partial large subunit ribosomal RNA". It matches the Rfam family "Eukaryotic large subunit ribosomal RNA", at positions 165 to 944 of the family's 3401-position model. Lineage: Eukaryota; Fungi; Ascomycota; Lecanoromycetes; Teloschistales; Teloschistaceae. The record is from RNAcentral.
CGGGGGCGGCACCGGUCUAAGUCUCUUGGAACGGGGCGUCAUAGAGGGUGAGAAUCCCGUAUGUGACCGGCGAUCAACCCCCAUGUGAAGCUCCUUCGACGAGUCGAGUUGUUUGGGAAUGCAGCUCAAAAUGGGUGGUAUAUUUCAUCUAAAGCUAAAUACCGGCCAGAGACCGAUAGCGCACAAGUAGAGUGAUCGAAAGAUGAAAAGCACUUUGGAAAGAGAGUCAAAAAGUACGUGAAAUUGUUGAAAGGGAAGCGCUCGCAACCAGACCUGCCCGCGGCCGAUCAACCGUCCUUCUGGGCGGUGCACUCGACCGUGAUCAGGCCAGCAUCGGUUCGGGCGGCCGGUUAAAGGCCCUGGGAACGUAGCUCCUUCCGGGGAGUGUUAUAGCCCUCGGUGUAAUGCGGCCCGCCUGGACCGAGGACCGCGCUUCGGCUAGGAUGCUGGCGUAAUGGUUGUGAGCGGCCCGUCUUGAAACACGGACCAAGGAGUCUAACAUCUAUGCGAGUGUUUGGGUGUCAAACCCAUGCGCGUAAUGAAAGUGAACGGAGGUGGGAACCCAAUCGGGCGCACCAUCGACCGAUCCAGAUGUCUUCGGAUGGAUUUGAGUACGAGCAUAGCUGUUGGGACCCGAAAGAUGGUGAACUAUGCCUGAAUAGGGUGAAGCCAGAGGAAACUCUGGUGGAGGCUCGCAGCGGUUCUGACGUGCAAAUCGAUCGUCAAAUUUGGGUAUAGGGGCGAAAGACUAAUCGAACCAUC